GAGCGGGAGGAGCGGGAGGGGCUGUGCGCAGCCCGCGGACCCGGCCCGACUUCGCCAGCGACUUCCUGGAACAAUAAGCCCCAGGCCUGAGCGCCGUUGGCCCGCCCCGGGCCGAGAGCCGCUGCGCCGCGAACCCUCCCUCGGGCCCGCUGUGGCGGCGGGGCGCUGAGGCGUGACCCGGCGCGCCCCGGGGUUGUUUGCCGGCGACGACGGGGAAACAGCCCGAGCCCGCCGGGACACUAGCCUGCCUGCUCCGCCGCUCUCGAAGACCUGCCCUCCCGGAGCGCCGGAGUCCGCAGCGGCGCCGAGGGCCCCUCCCCCGGGCCUGCGGGCUCUGAGCCCAGUGAAGCCAUUUUACAGAGAAGCAAAUCAAUGCUGGGAAGGACCAACACCUUUACCCAAGAUCCACUGAAAGAGGCAGACCUGGACUCAACUGCAUGGCCACCUGUCACCCAAGUCCAAGCAUUAGCAUCACACCACGCUGCUUAUGGAAGAAGUAUGAGACACAGUUCCAACCCCUCCAGUAGCUAACAGGUCUCUGGGAGACAGGAUCAGCAUGAACAGAUUCAGAGGAGGAACAGAGAUAAUGUGUGUUGAAACUUGAUUCUAUGGGAUUUUCAUCAGAACUCAGAGGUUGGCACUUACUGCAUGGACCUACUGUAUGAAGCAGGUGGAUUGGCCAGCACAAGGGGUUGCUGUGGUGCAUCGCCCAAAUUCCCCUUCUGGACCCAAGCCACGCGGCAUGUGUGAUACUAGUUCCCCGACCAGGGAUUGAACCUGCGCCCCCUGCAUUGGAAACUUGGAGUCUUAACCACUGGACUGCGAGGGAAAUCCCUGUAUCAUAUUUUAGAUUUCACAUCCAAAUAGCAAAAUGCCUGUCUCGUGAUCACUUCUGACUUUCCUGACCUCGUCAUCAGCGAUCACAUGGUAGCCCUGGACAUCAACAAGUCCAUCUAGUCGACCAAGCUCCUGCUUCGCUUAUUGACUCUGCAGACUGUCAGCUCUUCAAAGACAGAGAUUUGUGUUUCUGUUGGUACACUGAUACAUCACAAGUGCUUCAAAAAGUGCCUGGCACAUAAAAGAAUAAGUAUCUCGCUGAGGUUAUACAGCUGACGAAGGAAAGAGCAGGCUGCUGAACCAGGAUAGCCCCACGCAGGGGCCAGCGCUCUUAACUACUGUGCCCGUCAUUCUCCAAGUGUGGUCCAGAACAGCAGCAGCAGCAGCACUGGGGACACUCAUGAGAAAUUUGAAUCCUCAGCCUCCACCCCAGACCGAUGGAUUCAGGAACUCUGGGAACGGGUGCAGUGACCUGUGGUUCAAUGAGCCCGCAGGGUGAUUCUGAUACCCACUUAAGUUUGAGAACCACUGCUCUAAGCUCUACCUCCUCCUCAACCUCCAAACCAUGGGUUAGAUCCACAGAGCCCCCGGACUGUUAUUUUCCUUCAGGAUUUAGAAUCUGAAAAGUUUAGCUGGUUUGUCAUGGGUUUAGGGCAUGUAUAUGCUCCUGUCUCCAGUAACUAC
Eubalaena glacialis (North Atlantic right whale) is the source of this 1521-nucleotide long non-coding RNA. RefSeq lists it as uncharacterized. NCBI's taxonomy places the organism in Eukaryota, Metazoa, Chordata, Mammalia, Artiodactyla, Balaenidae. The transcript has 6 exons. The record is from RefSeq and is a predicted model, not a curated record.